UAAUACAGAGGGUGCAAGCGUUAAUCGGAAUUACUGGGCGUAAAGGGUGUGUAGGUGGUUAUGUAAGUUAGAUGUGAAAUCCCCGGGCUUAACCUGGGAACUGCGUUUAAAACUGCGUAGCUAGAGUAUUGCAGAGGAUAGUGGAAUUUCCAGUGUAGCGGUGAAAUGCGUAGAUAUUGGAAGGAACACCAGUGGCGAAGGCGACUGUCUGGGCAAAUACUGACACUGAGACACGAAAGCGUGGGGAGCAAACAGG
This 256-nucleotide ribosomal RNA is filed under the name uncultured bacterium. RNAcentral describes it as "partial 16S ribosomal RNA". It matches the Rfam family "Bacterial small subunit ribosomal RNA", at positions 521 to 776 of the family's 1533-position model. The record is from RNAcentral.